UACGGAAGGGGCUAGCGUUGUUCGGAAUCACUGGGCGUAAAGCGCGCGUAGGCGGCUUGGCAAGUGCGGCGUGAAAGUCCUGGGCUCAACCUGGGGACGGCGCUGCGGACUGCCUAGCUGGAGUCCGGAAGAGGGUGGUGGAAUUCCGAGUGUAGAGGUGAAAUUCGUAGAUAUUCGGAGGAACACCGGUGGCGAAGGCAGCCACCUGGUCCGGCACUGACGCUGAAGCGCGAAAGCGUGGGGAGCAAACAGG
RNAcentral lists this ribosomal RNA (253 nucleotides) under uncultured bacterium. RNAcentral describes it as "partial 16S ribosomal RNA". It matches the Rfam family "Bacterial small subunit ribosomal RNA", at positions 524 to 776 of the family's 1533-position model. The record is from RNAcentral.